UACAGAGGUCUCAAGCGUUGUUCGGAUUCAUUGGGCGUAAAGGGUGCGUAGGUGGCGCUGUAAGUCAGGUGUGAAAUUUCGGAGCUUAACUCCGAAACUGCAUUUGAUACUGCGGUGCUUGAGGACUGGAGAGGAGACUGGAAUUUACGGUGUAGCAGUGAAAUGCGUAGAGAUCGUAAGGAAGACCAGUGGCGAAGGCGAGUUUCUGGACAGUAACUGACGCUGAGGCACGAAGGCCAGGGGAGCAAACGGG
RNAcentral lists this ribosomal RNA (253 nucleotides) under uncultured bacterium. Its description in RNAcentral is "partial 16S ribosomal RNA". It matches the Rfam family "Bacterial small subunit ribosomal RNA", at positions 524 to 776 of the family's 1533-position model. The record is from RNAcentral.